Long non-coding RNA from Melospiza melodia melodia, 1597 nucleotides. RefSeq lists it as uncharacterized. Lineage: Eukaryota; Metazoa; Chordata; Aves; Passeriformes; Passerellidae. The transcript has 5 exons. The record is from RefSeq and is a predicted model, not a curated record.
GCCCCGUCGGCGCAGCAGGUCUCGGCCAGGGAGACGAUUUCCCGGACGAGGUGGCCGAUCUCCUGGAAGGUGCCGUUGGAAUAUUUCCGGCUGGUGUCAAUGAUGGUUCUGGCAGCAAGGACAGGGAGAGCCAGGUGUCAGGGCUCCUCGGAGGGCACCAGCAGCAGGAGGUACCUACAGGGUUCUGAAGUUCUCCUUGCCCAGGAUCUUGUACUCCUGGCAGACCUUCUCCCGGACAUAAGCUUUCCCUGAAAGUGCAGGAGAAGGAGGAAUUGGGGUCCCUGGGGAGAUGUUGUCACAGCCAGGCUGGGAGAAGCACACCUGGUGUCCAGGGUGCUGCUCCAGCUCUGCAGCCAGGGAAAGGGGCAGGGAGAAAACCUUCUCUGGAGCUGGAAGAGCUACAGCAGGAACAUCGGCUCCCAGUCCCAGCUUGUGGCAUUUGUGUUCGCUUGUACAAAGCCAUGCGGGAGAGGUAAAGUCUAGGUGGGUUUUGGCAGCUGGGGGAUUCCCUGUGGAGCUGAGAAGGCAGCAAAGGAUGGCAGAGCAUCGAUCCUACCAAGAGGGUCCUAAGAGAAGCCGAGGAAGAGGAGAAGAUCCAGCUGAAGUGAUCCUCACUAGUCCUGCCUGGGCAAUUGAUGAGAAGGAAGCAAAGAGGGAGGGAUGGAGAUCCAACUGCUGCAGUGAGACCCUGUCCUAGGGUGACGCUAUGAUGCUUGUAUCCCCAUCCCUGUGUUCUGUUUAUGCUGGAUAUCAUGUUCUGUGCCUUCAAGAAUGGCUCUGAAGGGUGCAAGUUUUGUUUUGGUUUCCUAUCAGCUGCUCCCCCACGGCUGGUGAGACCCUGAGACGGGGCAGUACAUGGUGCUGCUUUUGCCUUUCGCUUUGCUCUCGCUCUUGCUUCUGCUUUGCUUCUGCUUGCUCUUGCUUCUACUCAUUAGCUAGUUUAGCUGAACAGUCCAAAUUUUCCCUGGACUCUUUCUCCUUUCCUUUUUUUGGACCUACUUGAACCUGCUCUGGACUGGGACCUGGGAACACCGAGAGUUUGCACCCUGUGGCUGCAGCAGCUGCCCCAGCGCCGGAGGGACUGAGAACAGAGUGACCACCCUGAGAGAGACUUUCUGAAUUUGUCAUCUUUUUCAGAGCAGUGAAAGAGUGGUGUCACCCAGUAUUGUUCAUUUUGUGUGCCGGGGGGUGCUGUGCCAGUUAAAUAAACAGGUUCUUUCCACUUCUCUCCAAGGAAUUCUUCCCGAACCACCUGGGGGGAGGGGCAGUGUGGGUUUGCUUUCUGGAGAGGCCCCCUUUUGGAGAUUCCCUCCCAGAUUUGCCCUAAACCAGGACAGACCCCUGACCCCCAAAUCCACCCAGCCUCCACACAUACUCUGCACUCCCCCUGAGGCCGGAUGUUCCCUCUCAGACCGCAUCCCUUGGGAUGAAGAUAGAGCUGGUUUUUAUGGAAGAUCCCGGGUUUUUCUCCCAGGGAUCUGCACUGACAGUGAGUUGCAGCUCGGGACCAAAUCGUGCCGAUGCAGGAGAUAACCACGUCCUGUUCUUGAUGGUUUAUGUGUGAAAGUUGAAAAUAAAUGAUUAGCGACUCAUGGAA